CAUUUUUAGAACAGCAACAAGAGUCAAAAAGAAGGGGGAGCAAGUAUGUCAGAAAAUGUCAUUUACGCUGAAUUGAAUUUGACUGACUCAAGCAGGCCCAGACUACAGAAGAUCACUGAUGUCCAAGGUUCUAUAUACGCAGAAGUGAAAGUGCAAUCCCUAGACAGAAAUGCUGCAGCUAGCUAUACGUCGUCUGGUAAAAGCUGUUGCUCCAGAACACGUGUCACUGUAUUGGUUGCUGUGAUAAUCCUCCUACUGGUCUUAGCAGUGUGUCUGAUACUCCUGUAUUAUCCAGCUGCAAGCAGCUCACCUCACUCAAAAAUAGUAACUCUUGGGCUGGCAUUAGCUACGGAGACUGGCAGGGAGCCCUGGAGGCCUGGUGAAAACAAUGAGCAGAACCACACAGGCUGCCCCCAACACUGGCAAAAAAAUGAGGGAAGAUGCUACUUCUUUUCCGAAAAGAUGGAAAAAAAAGACUGGAAUGCCUCCCGUAACAUAUGUACUAAGAUGAAGUCAGACCUAGUGAUCAUUGACAACGAGGAAGAACUGAAAUAUCUUCAGUCACAAUCAGAAGGUCAUUACUACUUACUUGGUCUCAUACGCUCUAAGAGAGAGAACACGUGGAAGUGGAGUAACAACGUGGAACAUAACACAAGCAUGUUUAAUAUAGAAGGAGAUACUACUUACUAUUCCUGCGCUGUCAUUGGAUAUGGCAAAGUACAAACUGCAUCUUGUGAUGGAUCCAUAACAACACAAAAUAUGUGUGAAAAAGCUGCAGAUGUUUCAGAAUGGCAGAAGGAGAGCUAAAAACAAGAGGUCCAGGCAGGAAUGUUAUCCCCAGCUUCCUGUAGGAAUGGCAGAUGGGAUUUACCUCAUUUAUCUUCAGCUGUCUAAAUAUCUAGUCAAAGGGACUCUUACAGGCUCCCUCUAGAGACCUUGCAAAGCUUAGCACGCUCUUUCCCAAGAUGGGUGUCUGAGACUGGAUGGAUCCCUCUCCAGAGGAGCUUGUAUUUUCACACAUUAGGAAGCUGGGUGACUUGCUCAUACCAGAUGCCAGACUUUCAGGCAGCCACUGUUAGAUGAUACGAGUCCAACCUCGGUGAUAGGUGCGAUCACAAACAGAUCAUAUAUCUCAUAGGCACGUGCAUACAUACCUGUACAUUCACAGCCCUGCUUGUGCACAACGAGACACUUCAAAGCCUUGCCAUGCACUGCUCUUCCCUGCAGCCACAAGCAAAGAUUAACACGUAUUUAUAUUGCAUAUCCUGUUAGAAAAGUGCAAUCACACUCAUUGUCAUUUGUCAUAGAUAUGAUCGACAGAACAAAGUCAAAUGUGUAUAAACCUUACUCUGUAAAAAGCUGUCUCUGUUAAAAAACCACACUGCAUACCAGACCCUGUGGGGCUAAAAUGUGAUUCACCAAAACAGAAAUGAUCCUGCACCACAGCUCUGUGCAUAGAAUCACCACUAGUCCUAUGUAGGUCAGGGAAAGUAUAUCAGAUUUAGACCUAGCCCUGAACAGGAGGAAGAGCAGUAGAGAGCACAAGCCUGAAAAACAGAGUCACAAUAAUAGCUUCAACUGGACAGAAAAUAGUCAAAUCAAAACCACAGUUAUCUGUGAAGAAUCUGGUGAGAAGUAUGAGUGACCUACAGAGAAUGACGACACAGAGGACUCUCUUGUUUUUCUUGGAUAAUGACCAAAGAAGAAAAUCAUGCAUUCAGGUUUUUGCUGCACAGAAAAGUUAGAGUCAACACCAGAAACAGGUGGUACCAGUAGAGCAGAGACGUGAUCAGCAAAUAGUGAAUAUUACCAAAGAUCUUCCAAUGUGCUUCAGCAGCUUUUGGGACACUGGGGCUUUUGUGACUAUGAGGAUUAUCAUUCUUACCAUGUCCUUUGAGGCAGAAUCAUUCCCACCUAAAAUGGUGCCAUUCAUGGAUCUCUCCUUCAUCUGCAGGACAGAGAAAGCCCUGUGAAUUCCUUGAUGAAGUGAUAGUGAUGUCAUGCUUUCUCAUUAGGAAAAAAAAAAAGGUUUUGCUUAAUCAAAGAAUAUCUACUCAGAAAGUUGUGGCCAAGGGUAGUGAAAAUGGAAUCAAACAGGGAAAAAACUCUCUUAUUCUGACUUCAAAGCACAUUUUGAUGUCCCUCAGACAAGCAAUACUUCUCACUGCCCUCAUCCAUCAGGACUCUUUAGAAACAUAUUUGUAUUUCCCCCACUGACCAAAGUAAGAAUAUGUAGUUGUAACAGAAUAAUAUCAAUGGCAGCAACCAGAACCUAAAUUAUUAUUUCAGGAGGAAGCUAUGCUAGAGAGGCUAUUUGUUUGUGCUCAAUUUACUGGGCUCUAUAUUGUGUUAUGGAGCAGUCUGGAGGAGGGCUGCCCUUGUAUUUUCCUAUUCCAGCUGCUUUCCUUUGAUCAGGUGGGCUCUGCUGAAGGUGAGAGGCAGAGAAAUCUCUCUUCCCUGGGAGCCACUGGUCCUAGGGGGAGUUUGAAGACUUCAGCAAGCAGCAGAUCCAAGCAACUAUGCAUCAGAGGUGACAGAAAAAGGGAAGCUGCCCUAGGGCCACUGUGGAACUACAUGAAGUCCAUCAAACCCAGAAAGCCACAGAAAGUCACAGGACUAAGGAGCAAACACUGCUUACAAGGAAAUCCCUAACAAAGGAGGAAGUUUGAUUUGAGGUCAUUUAACAGCAACUUCCAGCCUUGCACAACACUGAGAGAUGCUUUACCAUUAACUGAAAUAUGCCAGUCUUCUCUCCUGUCUCAUAAAUCAACA
Grus americana (Whooping crane) is the source of this 2772-nucleotide RNA transcript. It is a transcript of the gene named C-type lectin domain family 5 member A-like, with no coding region annotated. The transcript has 9 exons. The record is from RefSeq and is a predicted model, not a curated record. Lineage: Eukaryota; Metazoa; Chordata; Aves; Gruiformes; Gruidae.